GUUCUUGUAGUUGAAUAACAACGGUGGUUUUUCAUAUCAUUAGUCCUGGUUAAAACCCGGGCAGGAAUU
Molecule: transfer RNA, 69 nt
Filed under: Gadus morhua (Atlantic cod)
Lineage: Eukaryota; Metazoa; Chordata; Actinopteri; Gadiformes; Gadidae
Description: transfer RNA-Glu
Rfam family: tRNA
About the family: Transfer RNA (tRNA) molecules are approximately 80 nucleotides in length.
Source: RNAcentral